AUGCAGGGUCGCCAGGCCGGCACGGCGCUCCUGCUCCUCCUCGCCGUCGUCGUCGCCGCCCUCCCCGCGCCGUCGCUCGGCUGGGGCGUCGACGGCCACCUCAUCAUCUGCGAGAUCGCGCAGGGCCGGCUGAGCGACGCGGCGGCGAAGGCGGUGAACGACCUGCUGCCGUCGGGCGCCGGCGGCAACCUGAGCAGCCUCUGCUCCUGGGCCGACAGGGUCAGGUUCAGGUACCACUGGUCGGCGCCGCUCCACUUCAUCGACGUCCCGGACAACGUCUGCAACUACUCCUACGACAGGGACUGCAAGGACGAGGAGGGCGUCAAGGGCCGCUGCGUCGCCGGCGCCAUCAACAACUACACGUCCCAGCUCCUCACCUACGGAUCAUCAUCGCUAUCGCCAUCUUCUAAAUCUUCCGGCCAAUAUAACCUGACGGAAGCGCUCUUGUUCCUCUCACACUUCAUGGGAGACAUCCACCAGCCACUGCAUUGUGGUUUUGCUUCUGACAGAGGCGGGAACACCAUCGACGUCCACUGGUACAGGAGGAAGACCGUACUCCACCAUGUAUGGGAUGUGAACAUCAUCCAGACGGCGGAGAAGGACUACUACGACGAAGGCGCGGGCGAAUUCGUCGACGCGCUGAACAAGAACAUAACGGGGGCGUGGUCAGACAAAGUGCAGGAAUGGGAGGAGUGCGCCAAGAGCCAGACGGCGUGCCCUGACAAAUAUGGGUCGGAGAGCAUCGCUGCAGCAUGCAACUCGGCGUACAAGGGCGUGACAGAAGAUUCAACGCUGAGUGACGCGUAUUUCGGGAGCAGGCUGCCGGUGGUGAACCUGAGGCUGGCGCAAGGCGGCGUCCGGUUGGCCGCUACGCUCAACAGGAUAUUUGGCUAA
RNAcentral lists this ribosomal RNA (894 nucleotides) under Triticum aestivum (bread wheat). Its description in RNAcentral is "partial small subunit ribosomal RNA". The record is from RNAcentral. Lineage: Eukaryota; Viridiplantae; Streptophyta; Magnoliopsida; Poales; Poaceae.